Molecule: ribosomal RNA, 517 nt
Filed under: Phoma sp. 15 NK-2011
Lineage: Eukaryota; Fungi; Ascomycota; Dothideomycetes; Pleosporales; Didymellaceae
Description: eukaryotic LSU rRNA
Rfam family: 5.8S ribosomal RNA (bases 155-308)
Source: RNAcentral
GGGAGGAUCAUUACCUAGAGUUGUAGGCUUUGCCUGCUAUCUCUUACCCAUGUCUUUUGAGUACCUUACGUUUCCUCGGUGGGUUCGCCCACCGAUUGGACAAACUUAAACCCUUUGCAGUUGAAAUCAGCGUCUGAAAAAACUUAAUAGUUACAACUUUCAACAACGGAUCUCUUGGUUCUGGCAUCGAUGAAGAACGCAGCGAAAUGCGAUAAGUAGUGUGAAUUGCAGAAUUCAGUGAAUCAUCGAAUCUUUGAACGCACAUUGCGCCCCUUGGUAUUCCAUGGGGCAUGCCUGUUCGAGCGUCAUUUGUACCUUCAAGCUCUGCUUGGUGUUGGGUGUUUGUCUCCUGUAGACUCGCCUUAAAACAAUUGGCAGCCGGCGUAUUGAUUUCGGAGCGCAGUACAUCUCGCGCUUUGCACUCAUAACGACGACAUCCAAAAGUACAUUUUUACACUCUUGACCUCGGAUCAGGUAGGGAUACCCGCUGAACUUAAGCAUAUCAAUAAGCGGAGGA